GGAAUGCCAUACCUUGUUAAGCUCAUAAUUAAAUUCCCAAUCGAUUGGCGAUUAAACCUGAAAACUUUAAUUUGUGACCAAUGUUCAAAAAAUUGUAAUGGUGAUCUUUGGCCUAGGCUGUUAGUGUUAUUUUAUAAAUAUUUCAAAAUCCUAAAACCCAUUGGACAUCUGUGAUUCGUUAUAACAAAAUACUCCGAGCAAAACUCAAUGAAAGCUUUUCAUUAUUAUCCGGAAACGAUUCUCCCAUUUUGAGCAAUAUGACUGUGAGAAUCAAAAAUAGAACUGCGAAUAUAAUUUAAGACGAGAGAUUAAAUAGCUUUUGCGUUUGACUCUUUCAAUUGUCGAGCGAUGACUGAUCACGAUAAAUACUUUUCGCCUUGAUAUUCAUUGAACUUGGCCAUUGUGGUAGAUGCAGAAGUGGAAAUAUUUUCAAAUCUGUGCAUGGUACUACUGAGUAAAUGAAAGUGAUUGCCAGCGAGGAAAAUGAAAACGAACCACUAAGAAAGCUAUCAAGACUUAAAGUAGACAAUCAGUGGUGGGCACUUUUUAUUGAAAACUUCAUUUUACGAGUAACUUACUCUCCUCGACAACUCUCCCUGCCAAAUGACAAUUGAUUUGUGCAUCCGCUUUUGGCUCUGGAUGCCAGCAAUCAGCCAGAUCCCGGCAUGAAUGGAAAUUUAAAAGCCAUAAAUCUUGGGGAUUUUAUAUCAUCUGUAACUAUGGCAACAACAGCGUUGCAAUCAAAUUAACUGGCAAGAAGCAGGAAACAAUUCCCCCCCAGUAGUGUUGCUAACUUAGCUUUUUCUAGACGAAUUUCGAUGGAAUUUCCAAGACCCUGAUUUUCAAAAAAUAUUUAUUUAAGAUUUUGGAGCCUAAAAAUGUAGCCAAAACUAAAAGAGAGAAAUUUAAAUAGUUGAGGUCACUACACCAUUGAGUAAGGCAAGGAAACUGAAGAAAAAAGGAAAGUUGUCAUCCCGGGAUCGAUUGUCUCUUGUCGGCUAGUUCCAGCACGCGUCUAUGACGAAAUGUGUUUGGAAAACGCCUGUUUCUUCGCCCUCCGAUGCGUCGAUUCCACUUGCCACCUGUCAGACGUCAGCGGCGGCUUAGCAGCUUAAAUUGUAAGACGAUGGGGGGAUGGGGAUGCUCCACAUUGUCAACGGCCUCAACACCUUGGAAAUGCGACAAAGGAGCGGAGACUCCAGCCCAACAUAAUUUGCUCCAAGCUGUUCGGAGUGAGACCGUCUGCAUGUGUGUGAUGUGUUUAUUUUUAAAGCAAAGCACUGGACUACAAGUUAUGGAUUUUAAGGAACGGUUUUUAAAAACAUUUGAUGUUUAUUAGUAUUUUUAACAAUAAAACUCCAGAAAAGAUGCCUUAAAGUA
Molecule: non-coding RNA, 1380 nt
Organism: Drosophila suzukii
Lineage: Eukaryota; Metazoa; Arthropoda; Insecta; Diptera; Drosophilidae
Source: RefSeq, a predicted model, not a curated record